RNAcentral lists this ribosomal RNA (496 nucleotides) under uncultured bacterium. Its description in RNAcentral is "partial 16S ribosomal RNA". It matches the Rfam family "Bacterial small subunit ribosomal RNA", at positions 28 to 506 of the family's 1533-position model. The record is from RNAcentral.
GAUGAACGCUGGCGGCGUGCCUAAUACAUGCAAGUCGAGCGAACGGACGAGAAGCUUGCUUCUCUGAUGUUAGCGGCGGACGGGUGAGUAACACGUGGAUAACCUACCUAUAAGACUGGGAUAACUUCGGGAAACCGGAGCUAAUACCGGAUAAUAUUUUGAACCGCAUGGUUCAAAAGUGAAAGACGGUCUUGCUGUCACUUAUAGAUGGAUCCGCGAUGCAUUAGCUAGUUGGUAAGGUAACGGCUUACCAAGGCAACGAUGCAUAGCCGACCUGAGAGGGUGAUCGGCCACACUGGAACUGAGACACGGUCCAGACUCCUACGGGAGGCAGCAGUAGGGAAUCUUCCGCAAUGGGCGAAAGCCUGACGGAGCAACGCCGCGUGAGUGAUGAAGGUCUUCGGAUCGUAAAACUCUGUUAUUAGGGAAGAACAUAUGUGUAAGUAACUGUGCACAUCUUGACGGUACCUAAGCAGAAAGCCACGGCUAACUACGU